UAGCAGGUUCCGUGUUAGCGGCUGCCGCCUAACCCCGUCAGGUCCGGAAGGAAGCAGCGGUAAGCGGCCAGCCGCUGUGCACGUCCGGCUUGCUAUUC
RNAcentral lists this signal recognition particle RNA (98 nucleotides) under Spirochaeta sp. LUC14_002_19_P3. RNAcentral's name for it is "Bacterial small signal recognition particle RNA". It matches the Rfam family "Bacterial small signal recognition particle RNA". Rfam says of the family: The signal recognition particle (SRP) is a universally conserved ribonucleoprotein involved in the co-translational targeting of proteins to membranes. Archaeal SRP consists of a 7S RNA and homologues of the eukaryotic SRP19 and SRP54 proteins. In most bacteria, the SRP consists of a 4.5S RNA and the Ffh protein (a homologue of the eukaryotic SRP54 protein). The record is from Rfam by way of RNAcentral. Lineage: Bacteria; Pseudomonadati; Spirochaetota; Spirochaetia; Spirochaetales; Spirochaetaceae.